GAUACCACCGUUAUCGGGUCAUACAGAAUAGUUGCCAAUGACAACUAUGCUGAGGCCGCUCUCGCUGCGUAAUGCAGCGCGACUAGCCUGAACUUGAAGCCCUUACUCCUAGCCGGGUAAGGCGCGGUCCGGAGGGCACCGGGCAACAGAAGCCCUCCACU
This 161-nucleotide transfer-messenger RNA is filed under the name Hyphomicrobium sp. RNAcentral's name for it is "partial transfer-messenger RNA". It matches the Rfam family "Alphaproteobacteria transfer-messenger RNA", at positions 200 to 355 of the family's 355-position model. Rfam says of the family: Bacterial tmRNA, also known as 10Sa RNA or SsrA, is named for its dual tRNA and mRNA-like properties. The record is from RNAcentral. Lineage: Bacteria; Pseudomonadati; Pseudomonadota; Alphaproteobacteria; Hyphomicrobiales; Hyphomicrobiaceae.